This 481-nucleotide ribosomal RNA is filed under the name uncultured bacterium. RNAcentral's name for it is "partial 16S ribosomal RNA". It matches the Rfam family "Bacterial small subunit ribosomal RNA", at positions 28 to 507 of the family's 1533-position model. The record is from RNAcentral.
GAUGAACGCUGGCGGCGUGCUUAACACAUGCAAGUCGAACGAAGCACUUUAUUUGAUUUCCUUCGGGACUGAUUAUUUUGUGACUGAGUGGCGGACGGGUGAGUAACGCGUGGGUAACCUGCCUUGUACAGGGGGAUAACAGUUGGAAACGGCUGCUAAUACCGCAUAAGCGCACAGCAUCGCAUGAUGCAGUGUGAAAAACUCCGGUGGUAUAAGAUGGACCCGCGUUGGAUUAGCUAGUUGGUGAGGUAACGGCCCACCAAGGCGACGAUCCAUAGCCGACCUGAGAGGGUGACCGGCCACAGUGGGACUGAGACACGGCCCAAACUCCUACGGGAGGCAGCAGUGGGGAAUAUUGCACAAUGAGCGAAAGCCUGAUGCAGCGACGCCGCGUGAGCGAAGAAGUAUUUCGGUAUGUAAAGCUCUAUCAGCAGGGAAGAUAAUGACGGUACCUGAAUAAGAAGCACCGGCUAAAUACGUG